This 23-nucleotide small nuclear RNA is filed under the name Arabidopsis thaliana (thale cress). RNAcentral's name for it is "snRNA_09846". Lineage: Eukaryota; Viridiplantae; Streptophyta; Magnoliopsida; Brassicales; Brassicaceae. The record is from RNAcentral.
GGUUUUUCUCUUAAACGAUUCUU